Molecule: unclassified non-coding RNA, 176 nt
Filed under: Epichloe amarillans
Lineage: Eukaryota; Fungi; Ascomycota; Sordariomycetes; Hypocreales; Clavicipitaceae
Description: sequence contains ITS2
Source: RNAcentral
CAACCCUCAAGCCCGCUGCGCGCUUGGUGUUGGGGGCCGGCUCACCCGCCUCGCGGCGGCGGCCGCCCCUGAAAUGAAUCGGCGGUCUCGUCGCAGCCUCCUUUGCGUAGUAACACACCACCUCGCAACCGGGAGCGCGGCGCGGCCACUGCCGUAAAACGCCCAACUUCUCCAAG